Long non-coding RNA from Bos taurus (domestic cattle), 716 nucleotides. The record is from Ensembl. NCBI's taxonomy places the organism in Eukaryota, Metazoa, Chordata, Mammalia, Artiodactyla, Bovidae.
GGGUGUGUAUUUGGGCCCCGAUGGGUUCUAGGUCCCAGUUCUGUCCUGCUGUGCUAACUUCCGUUCAAAGUGAAUGUUUUUUUGUUUUUGUUUUUUUUUUGCCCCCACUGGAUGUAAACACCGAGAGAAGAAAGUAUUCGUGGAGGAUCUAGUUACCCAACCAGAGACUGAACCCAGGUCCCCUGCGUUGGGAGCGCUGAGUCUUAGCCGCUAGACCACCAGACGAACUGUGAAGAGGAGGGCUGGUGUCCGAAUGUGUGCCAGUGAGGUCUGGAUCUCAGAGAGGAGGAAAUUCCUUAGACGCUCCAUUUCAGCACCCAAGGAAGCGAAGACAGCUCUCGAGAGUACACUAUAAGAAGCAGCCACUGUUCCUCCAGCUAAAACAAACAGCAUCCAAGGCAGACCCCACUGCCCAGCUGAGAUCUAGACCUUGUUGGAGCAGGCAUGCCAGUGACAGGGAUGUCCCUGGGGUGCUGUACCCAGGGAACGUGCUGGAAACCUUCCCUCCGGUACUUCCCUGAAAUCCGUUCUCUAGGGUGCCAGAGAAAGCUGUUCCCUGGGAGGUAUCUCCCCAGAGACCAGAGGGGAGUUCUACAAUUAUAUUGCCCGAGGCAAGGGGGCAGUGAGGAGUGAUGUCAGGAAAGCUGCUGGCGACCCACUGCCUCUGCAGACUCGCAUCACCAGCACCAUUGUGUAGGAAACAGGAAACUUGGAAA